CAGUAGCCGCGGUAAUACGAAGGGUGCAAGCGUUAAUCGGAAUUACUGGGCGUAAAGCGUGCGUAGGCCGUGAGUUAAGUCUGCUGUGAAAUCCCCGGGCUCAACCUGGGAAUGGCAGUGGAUACUGGCUCGCUAGAGUGUGUCAGAGGAUGGUGGAAUUCCCGGUGUAGCGGUGAAAUGCGUAGAGAUCGGGAGGAACAUCAGUGGCGAAGGCGGCCAUCUGGGACAACACUGACGCUGAGGCACGAAAGCGUGGGGAGCAAACAGGAUUAGAUACCCCGUAGUCCCUGUCUCUUAUACA
RNAcentral lists this ribosomal RNA (301 nucleotides) under uncultured bacterium. RNAcentral describes it as "partial 16S ribosomal RNA". It matches the Rfam family "Bacterial small subunit ribosomal RNA", at positions 509 to 808 of the family's 1533-position model. The record is from RNAcentral.